AUGCCCCAGCAGAGGAUGCUAGCAGCUUCUGCUGAAAGAGGAGACUGUGCAGCUCUCCAGAUCUCACCUGCCCUGGGAGGUGUUGGGGGCCAGCAGUGUCCGUGGUCCCCUCAUCCAGCCAAAGAACAGAAGGACCUGGCAUGUGUGGCCAGAAAAGCACAGACUGCCUCUCGGUUCCUGUGGGUGUUAAUCAGCUCAUGUCACAGGCCACACAUCACACGUCAGCGCUCGGAGAUUCCGUUGACUGAGUGUGCCUCCUGCAGUGAGAACUACGUGGCUUUUGAAACAGGAGCCCAUGCAGCCAUGACCUGCAUAUGA
This 318-nucleotide long non-coding RNA is filed under the name Vulpes vulpes (red fox). Its description in RNAcentral is "lncRNA (ENSVVUG00000008068.1)". Lineage: Eukaryota; Metazoa; Chordata; Mammalia; Carnivora; Canidae. The record is from RNAcentral.